Molecule: ribosomal RNA, 253 nt
Filed under: uncultured bacterium
Lineage: Bacteria
Description: partial 16S ribosomal RNA
Rfam family: Bacterial small subunit ribosomal RNA
Source: RNAcentral
UACGGGGGGAGCAAGCGUUGUUCGGAAUUACUGGGCGUAAAGGGCGCGUAGGCGGCCUUCUAAGUCGAACGUGAAAUCCCCGGGCUCAACCCGGGAACUGCGUCCGAGACUGGAAGGCUCGAAUCCGGGAGAGGGAUGUGGAAUUCCAGGUGUAGCGGUGAAAUGCGUAGAUAUCUGGAGGAACAUCGGUGGCGAAGGCGGCAUCCUGGACCGGUAUUGACGCUGAGACGCGAAAGCGUGGGGAGCAAACAGG